Molecule: ribosomal RNA, 659 nt
Filed under: Escherichia coli
Lineage: Bacteria; Pseudomonadati; Pseudomonadota; Gammaproteobacteria; Enterobacterales; Enterobacteriaceae
Description: partial 23S ribosomal RNA
Rfam family: Bacterial large subunit ribosomal RNA
Source: RNAcentral
AUAAUGGGUCAGCGACUUAUAUUCUGUAGCAAGGUUAACCGAAUAGGGGAGCCGAAGGGAAACCGAGUCUUAACUGGGCGUUAAGUUGCAGGGUAUAGACCCGAAACCCGGUGAUCUAGCCAUGGGCAGGUUGAAGGUUGGGUAACACUAACUGGAGGACCGAACCGACUAAUGUUGAAAAAUUAGCGGAUGACUUGUGGCUGGGGGUGAAAGGCCAAUCAAACCGGGAGAUAGCUGGUUCUCCCCGAAAGCUAUUUAGGUAGCGCCUCGUGAAUUCAUCUCCGGGGGUAGAGCACUGUUUCGGCAAGGGGGUCAUCCCGACUUACCAACCCGAUGCAAACUGCGAAUACCGGAGAAUGUUAUCACGGGAGACACACGGCGGGUGCUAACGUCCGUCGUGAAGAGGGAAACAACCCAGACCGCCAGCUAAGGUCCCAAAGUCAUGGUUAAGUGGGAAACGAUGUGGGAAGGCCCAGACAGCCAGGAUGUUGGCUUAGAAGCAGCCAUCAUUUAAAGAAAGCGUAAUAGCUCACUGGUCGAGUCGGCCUGCGCGGAAGAUGUAACGGGGCUAAACCAUGCACCGAAGCUGCGGCAGCGACGCUUAUGCGUUGUUGGGUAGGGGAGCGUUCUGUAAGCCUGUGAAGGUGUACUGUGAGGUA